This 6792-nucleotide long non-coding RNA is filed under the name Marmota monax (woodchuck). Lineage: Eukaryota; Metazoa; Chordata; Mammalia; Rodentia; Sciuridae. The record is from RNAcentral.
UAGAGUGAGAGAGGGAGGGAGAGAGAGAGAGAGAAUUUUUAAUAUUAAUUUUUAGUUCUUGGCGGACACAACAUCUUUGUGUGCAUGUGGUGCUGAGGAUGGAACCCGGGCCGCACGCAUGCCAGGGGAGCGCGCUGCCGCUUGAGCCACACCCCCAGCCCCUUGGGGUGGCUUUGAAGGGGUCAGAGUGAGGUGUGUGUGUCUCAUGUAAACCUUUCAUCCUGGUGGCAGGGUCUGGAAACCCAGUCACAUGUUGCUGGGAGCAUUGGACCCUGCUGUCUUCUGUGCUCCUGUGCUUCUGAGCUGAUGUGGAAGCCACCAAGUUCCAGAAUUUUCUGUGCUGGGUUUGGUGGUUGCAUGGUGGUGGGCAUAUGAGCAACUGCCUCCCUUGCUGUCCAGGAACCCAGGCCUCUGGGUCCCUGUCCUUUCCUUCACUGAGGCCCUGUGCUGUCCUGGAGAACUGUGUUAAGGGUGAAAUCCUAUGAGGAGAAUUUCUUUUUUUUUUUUGGUGCUGGGGAUUGAACUCGGGGCACUCGCCCACUGAGCCACAUCCGCAGCCCUAUUUUGUAUUUUAUUUAGAGACAGGGUCUCACUGAGUUGCUUAGCACCUUGCUUUUGCUGAGGCUGGCUUUGAACUCAGGAUCCUCCUGUCUCAGCCCCCUGAGCUGCUGGGAUUAUAGGCAUGCACCACCGUACCUGUCACCUGAAGAGAAUUUCAGAAUCUUUUCCCAAUGAAUGCAGUUUGAGUCCUCUAAGUAAAUGCGAUAUUUUGAGAUCUUAGCCGUUGGGAUCGUUAUUAUCACUCCUUGGUUUCUGUGGUUGGGGGAAGAACAGAACCCAGUAGCACUAGUAGACAGUGUGGUGCUUCCAGGUGUGAGCUGUUAAAAUAUUAAAUGUGUGUGGGUUUAGUUCCCUGUGGUGGGGCCACAGGGGCCCCAUUGCUGCUGGUGUUGGUGCUGUGCACAGUGAUUAGCUCUGUCACCUGGCCAGGAGGUCUCUGUCCUAACUGGUCAGACCGCUUCCCAGUCACACUGUGCACAAGAAGCCAAGACUGGGUUGCAAAGGCCAGGACUGACCCUGCUGGCUUGGCGUGUGGCCUCAGGCUAGAGAUGGCCCUGCUUUCCCGAGGCCCGGGACUCCUCUCCUUCCAGGGGGAUGCGCAGCAGCUGGUGGAGCUCCUGCCCUCGCCUGCUCCAGGCUGCUGCACUGGCCCCUGCUCUCUCCUGGCCAGCCUGCCAUCCCCACUGCCUCUGCCGCAGGGCCAGCCUGUUUCUAGCCCUCACCUGGCCCUCUGCACCCCCUGGCUCCAAGUGUGGGUGGCGACUGGACUUCCUGGUGCGACUCCCAUGUAGAGCAGGACAUCAAGCAUCCAUACCACCCCUUGGCUGGACGCAGCUUACUUUGAAGAGUCCAGAGGAGCUUUUUGACACUGAUGAGUGUAAAUAUGAAUAGAAGACUAGGUGAACAUGCAUGCUCACGCGUGCACACAGAGCACAGUGUUGGUCACUGCCACGCACCCUUGGACUUUGGCUUUGCCUGACUUCUGUGUGGGCAGAGGCCAGUUCAUGGCUCUGGGUGGGUCGUACUGCUUGCCUGUUCCUGCCAUGGUGGUGCUGGACUUGCCCUCUCCUUGGGCCUCUGCUUUUUUUGCUCGCUUAUAAUAGAGCCCAUUGAGUGGCCUGCACUUUGAACAGCCUUGGCUGCGUGGAGUAAGUCCCCGGAGGUCCUGGUAGGGGAAGACACUUGGGUUGACUUGGUCAGCUAACAGGGUCCUUGGGCCUCUCGUGGUUUUGGAAGGCAUUUAACUUGUUAUCACAAAAUGGCUUGCCUCGUGUUUUGCCUCCAAACUGGCAUGAGAGCCAGGAGCUCUUCUCUCACUAAGGCCUUGGCAUGGCUGCUCCUGUGUGCAUUCAGUGUCUGGGCUAUGGGCCAGAACUGACUGCAGCCUCCUCCACUGAGGUCUGCACAAACAGUCCUGACCGGUCGCACCCUCCUGUUGCCCUGCCCGCGUGUUCCCUGCCCCUGCUUCCCCGCCCCCAGCAGACCUGCAGUAAGUAGGUUUGUUGUGCUGGCUCCUGGUCAUUUUGUCACACACAGUGUGUGUGUGUUUCUGCAAGGUGAAGAGGAAACGUCGGGUUUGGGGUCAGUACCACGAACUGACUUUUGUGCAUACAUUCUCUUUUUAUCCCAGUUAUGUUGUAAUGCUCAAGUCAACUUGGUGGUCGGCUUCCUUUUGUAACUUUGAUUCUAAAGUUUAAUAGCAAUUAUAGGAAAUUCAGAGUGAGGAGGUUGGUUUGGUUUUUCUGUAUAAUUCUAGGAGCCAGUACCAAAGGAAGCAUUUGCUUUCUCUUUGUGCUUUCUCUUCAGCAAGUCAGUCUUCACUUGUUAGGAUCUGUCACCAUUAUUGUUUCUGGUAAGUUUUCAGUUUCAGAGUCCACUGUGGUUUGACUUCAGGAAGGGUCCGGCAGCUUUGGCCUGCGGAGAACCCGUUCCUCGGCCUCAGUACAUGUUCAUGUGAAACUCAGCCAGCCAACAUUGCUUUCAGGCGUUCUGUUUCCAGUUGAGUGAGUGCAUUUCUAAUUCAAGUCUGUUUUCUUUCAGGUUUGUUUAAAGAACAAAACCCAUAUGAGAAGUUUUAGGACGACUGCGUAUGUGUCCGAAAGAUUAGGCGGUCCUGGGCCCUCCUGCAGGCUCAUGCUGCUCAGCACAGGUCAGGAGCCCGCUGCACCCUGGGCUAGCCUCCAGCAGAGUCCUGGAAGCUGCCCUGAGAGGACAAUCCUGCUCUUGCCCUGUCGGCUGUGGCCUUCUGUCCCUCCUGCCUCUGUUCUGUAUUUAGCUGCUCAAGACAUUAAUCUCGCUGGGCCCUUGCUGUUUUCCGUUCACUGUCGUCUGCCUGUCUUGGUCUACAAGCUGAUGACCAGGUGAGCAGUCCACAGUCCGAUGUGCCAGCAGUUCUGCUGCAGCAGCAGAGGUCCCGAGGGCCUCUCUCCACCAGCAAGCUUCACACAGUGAUGGGGACAGUCACCUUCACUGUGUCAUGGGCGAUCUGAGCAAGCCAUUCUCAUUUCCCAAAAAAAAUCCAUGGGUGGCACUUCUGUGUGCCCAUCUCUUUGAACCUUGGUGUGUCUUAAUGCAGGUAGCUUUUUGUAGAAAAUAGUGUCCCAUACACAGUUUGAUAAGGAUCUCUUUCCUCACUGCAACUAUGUCGAAUAGCACUAAAGAAGAGUUAAAAUCACCUUAAUUAAAAAUAAUAAUUCUUGGAUGCCAUCACCAAAAUAUUCCCACCCCCAGAUAUUCUUGUAAAAGAUCAGACCCUUAUGAGAUGGUAGUUUUAAAUUUACAUCUAUUAAAGACCCGAGAGUCUUUCCCCAUGGAAACACAAAUUGCCCUCUGGCUGGAGUGGGUGCUCUGGUGCCCACCUCACCUUCCCUCCAGCUCCACCAGCACCUGGGCCGUCAUAGGUCCUUGGGAAUAUUCUCGUAAGCCUUGGACUUCUGCCUGCCUGUCAGGCUAUCUGAGAGGUGGUCAUUUUGGGUCAUGGGCCUGGCACGUUUACCCCAAGAAGGGAGAAGGUCAUCCAUAGGCCAGCCCCUCUUCAAGGCCCAGUAUGCAGGACACCCGUGUGUUGGGGCCUGCCGAAGGUCCUCCACACACUGCCACAGGUAGGCUGCCCACAGCAGGCCACCUACUCCAGCUGCACUUCAGCUUGGGCUGUGGGAGGGUUUCUGUCUGAGGCGGCGACUGUAAGUUAUCAGAGAAGCUCCAGGUGCCCCAGGCUGUGCAUUUCUUUAAAAUCAAGACACAUGAGUAGUGAGCAGAACGUUCUUGGUGGCACGGACAGCUAGAUGCUUUUCCUAAAAGAUACUAGACAAUACUUCCAGUUGCCAGGUUGCUUUGAAUUUAAAAAAAAAAAAUUCUCCCCGGGAACGUAGGUUGCCAGCACCAGUGGCAAGCAACGUGUUCUGUCCUCACGCUCCUGAUGAUGCUGUGGGCGGCAUCCGUGACUGUGGCCCUCGUGACGGGCAGGUCGCCUGGCAGUGGCUCUGCCAAUUCUUACACUAAGGAUGUGGCCCUUGACAAAUGCUUCAGUCUUAUUUUUCUGACUUCUUGGGAAUUGGAUAGUAAUUUUUAAAGUAUUAUGAAACAUUCCUAAGUAUGUGAUGGCAGCUGUCAUAAUAGGCUUUAAUGAACUUUGUAUUAACCUGAUAGUAUGUAUGUAAAAUCACAGUUUCUUUCAUUGAGGUUGCCACGUUAAAGUAGAGCAACCUGUUUUUAAAUACAGUGUAUUUGAUUCUCACAUCAGGUGACCUUAGGCUGGUCUUGGUUGAGCUUUUCUCUGAACUGAGGCUAAGGGAGCCGCACAACUGUGAGCUUGAGGAGACUGCCGUGUUCAGAGUGCCUUACUUUUAACCAGUUUCCAAUAAAAUGGUUCUGUGCCUGCUUUUGUUUACUAAACACAGUGUCCCUCUCUGGGUGGCGACUCCUCUGUGGCUGGGGGCAGGUGGAUCUGUCAGGUGAGGCUGAGCUUCUGGGCUAUCCUAUGAUGCCGUGAGCCGAUCCAAUGACACCAUGACCCCCAGGGCUGGACCAGGCUAUGUCCUGGAAUUGCCCCACCUGCCAGCGGCUUUCCUUCUGCUUCUGUGCGGGGCACAGAGGAAGCCGUCUUCCUUUGCAGUCUUUGAAAUGCCAUGGUGACAGGCACCUGGUCUAGAGGGCCUGAUUCUGGAGAGUGCCCGGAGACUGCCUCUGUAGGGCACUUUGGGGUGCAGCAGAGAUGGAAGAUAUCCAGGUGACAGCAAAUCUGCCCCUGCAGAGACAGCUGCUGAGGGCUGGGGAUGUAGCUCAGCAAACUUGGUGAAGUGCAGGGCCCUGGUUCAACCCCCAGACCACCAGGAGUCUCUGAGCCCCAGUGUGCACAACCAGAAGGUUGUGGGUUCCCUGGCCACUAAGAGCUGGCUGCCCAGCGCCCAGCUGCAGUGCAGGACAGCCAGGGAAGGGGCUCAGAACAGGAAUCCAGGGAGGUAGCUACAUGACCUUGGGGAAGAAAGGAGCUUGCUGGGCAGAGUGCCACCCGGGCUGUUUGUGUGGGAGGCCUUGGGAAGCAGAAGUGCCCGUGUCCCCGCCUUUGCAGGCAGGGCACUGAGGGAUGGUGAUCCCCAAAUGUCCUUUGCAUCCUGGUCCAGGGCCCUCAUACCUGGUCACUCCUGGUGCCACAGGGCCCCCGGUUUCUGUGACACAAGCAGACUGCUCUGGGUAAAUAAUGUUGGCAACAUUCACCAAAAGCUUUACCAAAGAAGGGCUGACGGGCGGGGCUGAUGGGUGGGUGUCAGCCUUCCAGGGAGGUGGGUGAGCUCCUGGGUCUGGCUGCUGCUGCUGCUGCAGCAGCAGCAGCAGCAGCUGCACAGGGCCUUGGUGGCAUGUUCCAGGAAGGUGGGACAGAUCCGUUCACAGUUGACCUGGGCCCUCAGACUUGGUGAUCAUGUGGAAAUGCGGAGCAGAGGUGACCUGCAGCCUCCGCAAACCUCACACCUCUGUUUGCAGAGCAGAGGCCCCUCACAGCCCUCAGCCCACACUCUACCAGAUCACCGUGGUCACCACUGAGCCUCACUGUCACACCCUGUGCUGCAGGGUGGCACUGAAAAGACAAACCCCAUUUUGCAGUGAAGAGUCAGCUGCACAGAAUGCUGGUCUGGGUUCUAUCCCAAGGAGCAUUAGCGCAGGGAAGAGCAGGAGGGGCUCCCACUGAGCUCAGGUGGGGCCUGAGUCUGGCGCUCAUCCCAGCUGUUCUCUUGCUCCCUCCCAGGGCUCAAGAUAGGCACAGGUUCCAGCAGGGGAAAGGUGUCCCGCACACAGCCAGUUGGGAGGCUCUGAGCUGUGACUUGAUGGGAUUCUUUCACUGGAGGCACCUGGGUUCCAGGAGAUGUUCAGCCAGGAAGAAGAACUUUCAUAAACUAGGACUUAGGAGCAGUGUGCUGAGCUCCCAGGGCCCCGUGCUCUCUGCCCAGGUCUUCCUUUAAAGUCUCAGGGCAUAGUCUGUCACAGGAACUGCCUUGGCCUGGCCCUCAACCGGGGCCCUUGCAGGUCUCAGAGGCACUGACCCCAGGUGCCUGCCCACCAACCUCAGCACUGAGCUCAGUGCUCAGCCUUUCUCUGCAUUUCAUCCUGGCCCAUGCUCUUGACUCCCACCCUCCAACCUUGGGGUACCCACCUUCCCCAAAGAAAGACCUCCAAGACAUUGUCCUGGGUUCUGCUUCCCAGGAACCCCUGGAAGUCAUCACUUAUGGCCAUCUGGGUCUAGGAAUGUGAUUAGCCAAGUUGCAGCAGGAGGUAGAGUUCCCUCAUGACUAAGUUCAUGUGUCACCUUAGUGGGUUCAGAGAUGUCCUUGUACCUGAUGAGGCACUGUUUGUGGGUGUCUCUGCGGUGUCCCCAUGAGGUUAGCAUUGGACGACCAAGUGAACCCAGGCAGAGAAGAGAGAAUUUGCCUUCCCUCUGCAGGUUGCUUGAGCUGGGGCCUGGCCUUAUGCAUGAUUGUGUAAGACUCCCUAAUGACAGGUUUGCUGAAAUAUUUAAGAGUUUUGCAUGUCAUGCUGGGUAUGGUGGCACACACCUGUCAUCUCAGCUGCUUAGGAUGCUGAGACAGGAGGAUCAUCAAGUUCAAGGCCAGCCUGGGCAACUUAGUAAGACCCUGUAUCAAAAAAAAAAAAAAGGGAUGGAAUGUAGCUCAGUGGUAGAGUACCCCUGGGUUCAAUCCCCAGUACUGCCCAAAAUCUUUUUAUCUUUUUUUUCUGCCC